CGGAAAGGCCCUUCGGGGUACUCGAGUGGCGAACGGGUGAGUAACACGUGGGUGAUCUGCCCUGCACUUUGGGAUAAGCCUGGGAAACUGGGUCUAAUACCGAAUAGGACCGCAUGCUUCAUGGUGUGUGGUGGAAAGCUUUUGCGGUGUGGGAUGGGCCCGCGGCCUAUCAGCUUGUUGGUGAGGUAAUGGCUUACCAAGGCGACGACGGGUAGCCGGCCUGAGAGGGUGACCGGCCACACUGGGACUGAGAUACGGCCCAGACUCCUACGGGAGGCAGCAGUGGGGAAUAUUGCACAAUGGGCGCAAGCCUGAUGCAGCGACGCCGCGUGAGGGAUGACGGCCUUCGGGUUGUAAACCUCUUUCGCCAGGGACGAAGCGCAAGUGACGGUACCUGGAGAAGAAGGACCGGCCAACUACGUGCCAGCAGCCGCGGUAAUACGUAGGGUCCGAGCGUUGUCCGGAAUUACUGGGCGUAAAGAGCUCGUAGGUGGUUUGUCGCGUUGUUCGUGAAAACUCACAGCUUAACUGUGGGCGUGCGGGCGAUACGGGCAGACUUGAGUACUGCAGGGGAGACUGGAAUUCCUGGUGUAGCGGUGGAAUGCGCAGAUAUCAGGAGGAACACCGGUGGCGAAGGCGGGUCUCUGGGCAGUAACUGACGCUGA
This 665-nucleotide ribosomal RNA is filed under the name Mycolicibacterium gilvum. RNAcentral's name for it is "bacterial SSU rRNA". It matches the Rfam family "Bacterial small subunit ribosomal RNA", at positions 67 to 749 of the family's 1533-position model. The record is from RNAcentral. Lineage: Bacteria; Bacillati; Actinomycetota; Actinomycetes; Mycobacteriales; Mycobacteriaceae.